This 301-nucleotide ribosomal RNA is filed under the name uncultured bacterium. RNAcentral's name for it is "partial 16S ribosomal RNA". It matches the Rfam family "Bacterial small subunit ribosomal RNA", at positions 509 to 807 of the family's 1533-position model. The record is from RNAcentral.
CAGCAGCCGCGGGAAUACGAAGGGGGCUAGCGUUGUUCGGAAUUACUGGGCGUAAAGCGCACGUAGGCUGACAUUUAAGUCAGGGGUGAAAUCCCGGGGCUCAACCUCGGAACUGCCUUUGAUACUGGGUGUCUUGAGUGUGGAAGAGGUAAGUGGAAUUGCGAGUGUAGAGGUGAAAUUCGUAGAUAUUCGCAGGAACACCAGUGGCGAAGGCGGCUUACUGGUCCACAACUGACGCUGAGGUGCGAAAGCGUGGGGAGCAAACAGGAUUAGAUACCCGCGUAGUCCCUGUCUCUUAUAC